This 501-nucleotide ribosomal RNA is filed under the name uncultured bacterium. RNAcentral describes it as "partial 16S ribosomal RNA". It matches the Rfam family "Bacterial small subunit ribosomal RNA", at positions 30 to 523 of the family's 1533-position model. The record is from RNAcentral.
AUUGAACGCUGGCGGCAGGCUUAACACAUGCAAGUCGAGCGGGGGAAGGUAGCUUGCUACCGGACCUAGCGGCGGACGGGUGAGUAAUGCUUAGGAAUCUGCCUAUUAGUGGGGGACAACAUCUCGAAAGGGAUGCUAAUACCGCAUACGUCCUACGGGAGAAAGCAGGGGAUCUUCGGACCUUGCGCUAAUAGAUGAGCCUAAGUCGGAUUAGCUAGUUGGGGGGGUAAAGGCCUACCUAGGCGACGAUCUGUAGCGGGUCUGAGAGGAUGAUCCGCCACACUGGGACUGAGACACGGCCCAGACUCCUACGGGAGGCAGCAGGGGGGAAUAUUGGACAAUGGGGGGAACCCUGAUCCAGCCAUGCCGCGUGUGUGAAGAAGGCCUUAUGGUUGUAAAGCACUUUAAGCGAGGAGGAGGCUACUCUAGUUAAUACCUAGGGAUAGUGGACGUUACUCGCAGAAUAAGCACCGGCUAACUCUGUGCCAGCCGCCGCAGUAA